AUAAGCAAUUAUACCGUGAAACUGCGAAUGGCUCAUUAAAUCAGUUAUCGUUUAUUUGAUAAUACCUUACUACUUGGAUAACCGUGGUAAUUCUAGAGCUAAUACAUGCUGAAAAUCCCGACUUCGGAAGGGAUGUGUUUAUUAGAUAAAAAACCAAUGCCCUUCGGGGCUUUUUGGUGAUUCAUGAUAACUUUACGGAUCGCAUAGCCUUGCGCUGGCGACGGUUCAUUCAAAUUUCUGCCCUAUCAACUUUCGAUGGUAAGGUAUUGGCUUACCAUGGUUUCAACGGGUAACGGGGAAUUAGGGUUCGAUUCCGGAGAGGGAGCCUGAGAAACGGCUACCACAUCCAAGGAAGGCAGCAGGCGCGCAAAUUACCCAAUCCCGACACGGGGAGGUAGUGACAAUAAAUACUGAUACAGGGCUCUUUUGGGUCUUGUAAUUGGAAUGAGUACAAUUUAAACCUCUUAACGAGGAACAAUUGGAGGGCAAGUCUGGUGCCAGCAGCCGCGGUAAUUCCAGCUCCAAUAGCGUAUAUUAAAGUUGUUGCAGUUAAAAAGCUCGUAGUUGAAACUUGGGCCUGGCUGGCGGGUCCGCCUCACCGCGUGCACUCGUCCGGCCGGGCCUUCCUUCUGAAGAACCUCAUGCCCUUCACUGGGCGUGCUGGGGAAUCAGGACUUUUACUUUGAAAAAAUUAGAGUGUUCAAAGCAGGCCUUUGCUCGAAUACGUUAGCAUGGAAUAAUAAAAUAGGGCGUGCGUUUCUAUUUUGUUGGUUUCUAGAGACGCCGCAAUGAUUAACAGGAACAGUCGGGGGCAUCAGUAUUCAGUUGUCAGAGGUGAAAUUCUUGGAUUUACUGAAGACUAACUACUGCGAAAGCAUUUGCCAAGGAUGUUUUCAUUAAUCAGUGAACGAAAGUUAGGGGAUCGAAGACGAUCAGAUACCGUCGUAGUCUUAACCGUAAACUAUGCCGACUAGGGAUCGGGCGAUGUUCUUUUUCUGACUCGCUCGGCACCUUACGAGAAAUCAAAGUUUUUGGGUUCUGGGGGGAUUAUGGUCGCAAGGCUGAAACUUAAAGAAAUUGACGGAAGGUCA
Molecule: ribosomal RNA, 1091 nt
Filed under: Alternaria alternata
Lineage: Eukaryota; Fungi; Ascomycota; Dothideomycetes; Pleosporales; Pleosporaceae
Description: SSU rRNA
Rfam family: Eukaryotic small subunit ribosomal RNA
Source: RNAcentral